GAUCUUCAACUUUCAUGUUGACCAAAAUUUCAUUUGAAGCUUCUUUGAUGUUGGAAAGUCAAGUUGAAUGUGGUCCAAAAACAUGCCAUUUUUGGAAACUUGAAAUUACAGGUCACUUUCCAUUUUGGGAAACUUUUGAUCUGACUUCAAAAUCUUCAAGGUAGAUGUUUGUCAUGAUGAAUAAGCCUCUUUUGGACAUGAAUG
Molecule: long non-coding RNA, 204 nt
Filed under: Lathyrus oleraceus (garden pea)
Lineage: Eukaryota; Viridiplantae; Streptophyta; Magnoliopsida; Fabales; Fabaceae
Description: Pisum sativum (pea) long non-coding RNA (PSAT_LNC002488)
Source: RNAcentral